This 1394-nucleotide ribosomal RNA is filed under the name Actinomycetes bacterium. Its description in RNAcentral is "bacterial SSU rRNA". It matches the Rfam family "Bacterial small subunit ribosomal RNA". The record is from RNAcentral. Lineage: Bacteria; Bacillati; Actinomycetota; Actinomycetes.
GAUGGAGGGUUUGAUCCUGGCUCAGGAUGAACGCUGGCGGCGUGCUUAAUACAUGCAAGUCGAGCGAUCGGACGAGGGGGCUUGCUCCCUCGUUACGGAGCGGCGAACGGGUGAGUAACACGUGAGCAAUCUGCCUCGGAGACGGGGAUAACGUUGGGAAACCAGCGCUAAUACCCGAUGACCCGGCAGGGGGGCAUCCCCCGGCCGGCAAAUGUUCCGGCGCUCCGAGAGGAGCUCACGGCCUAUCAGCUUGUUGGCGGGGUAAUGGCCCACCAAGGCUUCGACGGGUAUCUGGCGUGAGAGCGCGACCAGACACACCGGGACUGAGAUACGGCCCGGACUCCUACGGGAGGCAGCAGUAGGGAAUAUUGGACAAUGGGCGAAAGCCUGAUCCAGCGACGCCGCGUGAGGGAUGAAGGCCUUCGGGUUGUAAACCUCUGUUGUUGGGAAAGAAGCCGGGUGCAUAACCCGGUGACGGUACCCAACGAGGAAGCCCCGGCUAACUACGUGCCAGCAGCCGCGGUGAGACGUAGGGGGCGAGCGUUAUCCGGAUUCACUGGGCGUAAAGGGCGCGUAGGCGGUUACGCAAGUCGGAUGUGAAAAGUCACGGCUCAACUGUGAUCGUGCAUCCGAUACUGCGUUGACUUGAGGUCGGUAGAGGCAAGUGGAACUAGCGGUGUAGCGGUGAAAUGCGCAGAUAUCGCUAGGAACGCCGGUGGCGAAGGCGAUUUGCUGGGCCGUACCUGACGCUGAUGCGCGAAAGCUAGGGGAGCGAACCGGAUUAGAUACCCGGGUAGUCCUAGCCGUAAACGGUGGGUGCUAGGUGUGGGGGGCGUAUGUCCCUCUGUGCCGUAGCUAACGCAUUAAGCACCCCGCCUGGGGAGUACGACCGCAAGGUUAAAACUCAAAGGAAUUGACGGGGGCCCGCACAAGCGGCGGAGCGCGUGGCUCAAUUCGAUGCAAAGCGCAGAACCUUACCAGGGCUUGACAUGCUGGAAGUAGAACCCCGAAAGGGGAACGACCCGUUGAAUCGGGAACCAGUACAGGUGCUGCAUGGCUAAUCAAACAAGAGGACGAUUGGCCCCCGGAGGAGCAAUCCUCCGCGGAAACACCGGCUCAUAUCGGUGAAGCCCUUCCUGUCACAGGUGAUUACUAAUCUGUGAAGCGUGCGGGUAAUACCGAGGGAAGUUCGCGACAGUGCAUUCGUCAGAGACACAACCGACGCGUACGCACUCGGUCUGUGGUGCGCCGAUUCUUAUUGGUGGUCGAGCAGCAUCGCCUUGUACACACCGCCCGUCACGUCCUGAAAGUGGGCAAUACGUGAAGCCAGUGGCCCAACCCGCAAGGGAGGGAGCUGUCGAGCGUAGGGUUCGCGAUUGGGACGAAGUCGUAAG